CCCCUGUUGCUCCCUCCCCGACGAGGAGCUCCUACCUCCCCGACGGCCGGCCUCCUCCUCGCCCCGCCGCUGCGUCCGGCGCCGCCACGGCCUCUGGAGCACGGCGCCGAUGAGGAACCCACCCACGGUGUGCGAGGGGUCUCUUCCCGUACGUCAAGGCAUCCCGCCUCACGUUUCCUCUUUUGGCAUCACGGGCCGCCGCCGCACUCCCUCCCCCGGCCGCCCCGCGGGCUUCUAUCUCUCCCAGCUCCGCUGCCGCGCCCCGUCUUCCAUCUCUACAUGAAUCGCUGUUGUGGAAGCCAUGCCCCACCGCGCCACCCGGCGGCCAUCCGGGCACGCCGUGUCCGGGAUGAUGGAGUUGAGUCGGCCAGGUCCCUGUUCCCGUUGGCAUCGGGACCCGUGGGGGCAAGCCGCGCGCUGCUCAUCUGCGUCGAUGGCGUCGGCGCGGCCUUCCCCUGUCAAGACCGGCGGCUCCUUGGCUGGAUCCUCUCCUCUCCUCUCUUCCACCUCUCGUCGUCGGGUGCUCCUUCCGUCGAUGUCGAGGUCUUAGUCUCGGUGAUUUCUCCUUGUAUGUUCUGUUGAUAUUGGUACCGUGUUCUGAACCUUGCUGCUUUGGAGGGUUUCAGUUUUGAUGGUUCUGUUCAAUUCAAGGUGAUUCGGUAAUGUUCUGCGUACAAAGUGCUUCCUAUUUUUGCGGUGAAAAACAGCGUGUUGGAGAUAGUUCAGACAGUCAAAAUUUGGCAGUAUUUUCUUCUUCUUUUGAUCCCGUUUCUUCAUAGUUAGUCAGACUCAAUAAGAAUUAGAGCAAGUUGGAAAGAGGUUUGUUAGGUCGGAACUGAUAUAUUUGCUUUCUCCUAGCAGCCUAUACAUAUCAUUUUAUAUGACGGGGAUUGUGCUAUAUUACCAUGUUAUAAAGGUAGAGCUAGGAUAUGUCUUUCUUGAACUGUGUGGACAUGCUCAUGGCGGAGGUGCUCUGUUUGUAUGUUUUUUCAAGUAAAGUGGAGAAACUCCUGAAUUGUGUCUUCAGAAAUAGUUUACUGUUGCUGUGUCUUCAGAUGCUGGUUACUGUGUUGGAAUCUACCAAUCCUUCUGAUCAUUGUGUUUUUCUGGGCCUGGAGGUCUACGCCAAACCCCAGGGCAGGGUGGUUCGAACACCAGUGCAGUACGGGCUGGGACGGACAUCAUCUUGUCUCUGUCUCUACUAAUUCAAAUUACAUGUAACUUAUUCCCUCAAAAAAAUUACAUGUAAUUUAUUCAGUUCUACAGCAGCCAAGGGCGGGGCAUCGCACCGAUGACAGUGACUGCAAUGAGGGUGAGAUGCCGAUGUUUGUGCCGGCGCCGGAGACCGUGACCACAACUCGGGGCAAGGUGCUGGUGUCAGCGACGUCGCCCGUGUUGGCCCCUUGAGUUUUGGACCUGCCGCGCUCUGGUUCUGGAAGCUGCCAUUCCCAUCGAGCCCCUCCAGCAGCCUUCAGGAUGGAGAGGAGAAGACUGAAAAGGAUGUUGAUAUGAGGAAUUCAAGGAAGUGGAAGAGGAAGAAAGUUCUGAUGAUGGG
Molecule: non-coding RNA, 1555 nt
Organism: Triticum urartu
Lineage: Eukaryota; Viridiplantae; Streptophyta; Magnoliopsida; Poales; Poaceae
Source: RefSeq, a predicted model, not a curated record